RNAcentral lists this ribosomal RNA (228 nucleotides) under Kingella kingae. Its description in RNAcentral is "partial 16S ribosomal RNA". It matches the Rfam family "Bacterial small subunit ribosomal RNA", at positions 315 to 535 of the family's 1533-position model. Lineage: Bacteria; Pseudomonadati; Pseudomonadota; Betaproteobacteria; Neisseriales; Neisseriaceae. The record is from RNAcentral.
GGGACUGAGACACGGCCCAGACUCCUACGGGAGGCAGCAGUGGGGAAUUUUGGACAAUGGGCGAAAGCCUGAUCCAGCCAUGCCGCGUGUCUGAAGAAGGCCUUCGGGUUGUAAAGGACUUUUGUUAGGGAAGAAAAGGUUGAUGCUAAUAUCAUUAACUGAUGACGGUACCUAAAGAAUAAGCACCGGCUAACUACGUGCCAGCAGCCGCGGUAAUACGUCUGUCUC